Molecule: ribosomal RNA, 387 nt
Filed under: uncultured Alphaproteobacteria bacterium
Lineage: Bacteria; Pseudomonadati; Pseudomonadota; Alphaproteobacteria
Description: bacterial SSU rRNA
Rfam family: Bacterial small subunit ribosomal RNA
Source: RNAcentral
GAGUUUGAUCGUGGCUCAGAACGAACGCUGGCGGCAGGCUUAACACAUGCAAGUCGAACGCCCCGCAAGGGGAGUGGCGCAAGGGUGAGAAACGCGUGGGAAUUUGCCUUUUGGUUCGGAAUAACCACAGGAAACUGUGGCUAAUACCGGAUGGUCCCUUCGGGGUAAAGAUUUAUCGCCAAAAGAUGAGCCCGCGUCAGAUUAGCUAGUUGGUGGGGUAACGGCCUACCAAGGCAACGAUCUGUAGCUGGUCUUAGAGGACGAUCAGCCACACUGGAACUGAGACACGGUCCAGACUCCUACGGGAGGCAGCAGUGGGGAAUAUUGGACAAUGGGGGCAACCCUGAUCCAGCCAUGCCGCGUGAGUGAUGAAGGCCUUCGGGUUGU